Molecule: long non-coding RNA, 1288 nt
Organism: Gasterosteus aculeatus aculeatus (three-spined stickleback)
Lineage: Eukaryota; Metazoa; Chordata; Actinopteri; Perciformes; Gasterosteidae
Source: Ensembl
CUGGCACAGUGCACAGCUCAUCCAACGGGUCUACUUGUGCGGUUGAUGUGCUUUGGCACAAAUCAGACACACAAAGUCUUGACAUCUGGCCAAGACGUACCCUGUGUGGGUUUGACAAUAAGAGAAAGAAGCAGGGACAGUCGGGGAGGAAGAUCGGAAGAUGGAACAAGAGGAGACGGGGGGAGAUAAAAAUGCCGAGUUUAGCUCACACGAGCAAGAGUAGACACAUUCAUUUGCGGGAUAGAGGAUCAAACGCUAUCGGAGGUUGCUGGGGAAGGAGACGGAGACAAAAGCAGAUUCAAUGACAUCAUUGGAGUUGGUUUGUGCAUGUGUUGUACUAGAGCAUGUGCUGGGCAGAAGGGAGGGCCGAGAGCGAAGCCGUGACGUAUUGUAAUCUGGAAUACUGAGAAGCCCAGCUGUGCAGAAUCUGGGCAAAACGAGGGCUUAUGUUACAUCACGCACCCACACACACACACACACACACACACACACACACACACACACGCACGCACACACGCACACAUAGCUUUUCGUGAGUCCUGAAGGAACACAACUGUCACUAGGGAGAAGAGUCGGCAGGCUUGGCUCGCGUGUGUGUACGUUGUUUGCAGAUUCUAACCCUCGUUUUGAUGUCCUCUUCACUACAAAAUGCCUGUGAAUAUUGCCUCCACCCAUCAACACCAUUUACCGUCCUCUUCCUCAGUGUUGCCGUUCCCCCCCCCCUGGGAAGGAAGCAGUAUUGCCAGAUGGAGCCGUGGUCAGCUUCAAGUUGGGAGCCGCGGCCCAGGAUGGGCAAUUUGGACCCCACUCUGUGGCGGCAAUUUGUUCAGGACAGAAAUAACUCGGUCUUGAACUGAAAAUACACUGUGUUUCUAAUGCACCUCCACCCAAACGGGCGAUGGCACAAUCUCUGCAUAGAGGAGAGGAAAAAUACUAUUUGUAGCUCCACAACCAUGUUUGGCAAUGACUUCAAGAAAAGAAAAUAACUUUUACCACGUCAACCUCCCUUCUUUGCCGGUUAUUUUUUACCAUCAGCGGGCAACUACUGUACUCCUUUCCAUCAAAAUCAAACGUUAUUUUUAGAAUUCAUUCAAACCCUUAAUGAAAUCACUUUUGUGCUCCGAAGAGUCUGAUGUAUUCACGCUUCUGUGAGUGUUAAGACGCAGUCAUACACAUGAAUACAUCCCCGGUGGUUUACCCAUUCGCUGAGUUGAAGCUAUGAAAAAUGAAUGUUUAUUCACAACUUGCGCGAGGGCAUGUUUACCCUCGACGGUUGCAUGAUUAUUUG